UACGGGAGGCAGCAGUGGGGAAUAUUGCACAAUGGGCGAAAGCCUGAUGCAGCUAUGCCGCGUGUAUGAAGAAGGCCUUAGGGUUGUAAAGUACUUUCAUCGGGGAGGAAAAACAAAACUAAUAAUUUUAUUUCUUGACGUUACCCGAAAAAGAAGCACCGGCUAACUCCGUGCCAGCAGCCGCGGUAAUACGGAGGGUGCUAGCGUUAAUCAGAAUUACUGGGCGUAAAGAGCACGUAGGUGGUUUUUUAAGUCAGAUGUGAAAUCCCUGGGCUUAACCUAGGAACUGCAUUUUGAAACUGAAAUACUAGAGUAUCGUAGAGGGAGGUAGAAUUCUAGGUGUAGCGGUGAAAUGCGUAGAUAUCUGGAGGAAUACCUGUGGCGAAAGCGGCCUCCUAAACGAAUACUGACACUGAGGUGCGAAAGCGUGGGGAGCGAAACAGGAUUAGAUACC
Molecule: ribosomal RNA, 454 nt
Filed under: uncultured bacterium
Lineage: Bacteria
Description: bacterial SSU rRNA
Rfam family: Bacterial small subunit ribosomal RNA
Source: RNAcentral